RNAcentral lists this ribosomal RNA (434 nucleotides) under uncultured Sphingobium sp. RNAcentral describes it as "bacterial SSU rRNA". It matches the Rfam family "Bacterial small subunit ribosomal RNA", at positions 18 to 498 of the family's 1533-position model. Lineage: Bacteria; Pseudomonadati; Pseudomonadota; Alphaproteobacteria; Sphingomonadales; Sphingobiaceae. The record is from RNAcentral.
CCUGGCUCAGAACGAACGCUGGCGGCAUGCCUAAUACAUGCAAGUCGAACGAGACCUUCGGGUCUAGUGGCGCACGGGUGCGUAACGCGUGGGAAUCUGCCCUUGGGUUCGGAAUAACGUCUGGAAACGGACGCUAAUACCGGAUGAUGACGAAAGUCCAAAGAUUUAUCGCCCAGGGAUGAGCCCGCGUAGGAUUAGCUAGUUGGUGAGGUAAAGGCUCACCAAGGCGACGAUCCUUAGCUGGUCUGAGAGGAUGAUCAGCCACACUGGGACUGAGACACGGCCCAGACUCCUACGGGAGGCAGCAGUAGGGAAUAUUGGACAAUGGGGGCAACCCUGAUCCAGCAAUGCCGCGUGAGUGAUGAAGGCCUUAGGGUUGUAAAGCUCUUUUACCCGAGAUGAUAAUGACAGUAUCGGGAGAAUAAGCUCCGGCU